UUUUGGAGGGCAAGUUUGGUGCCAGCAGCCGCGGUAAUUCCAGCUCCAAUAGCGUAUAUUAAAGUUGUUGCAGUUAAAAAGCUCGUAGUUGAAUUUCGGGGUUAGUAGGUUGGUCGUGCCACAGGUAUGCACUGGUCUUACUGACUUCUCCUUUCUGAAGAACUGUAAUGCCAUUAAUUUGGUGUUGCGGGAAAACAGGACUGUUACUUUGAAAAA
This 216-nucleotide ribosomal RNA is filed under the name Glomeraceae sp. RNAcentral's name for it is "partial small subunit ribosomal RNA". It matches the Rfam family "Eukaryotic small subunit ribosomal RNA", at positions 546 to 764 of the family's 1831-position model. The record is from RNAcentral. Lineage: Eukaryota; Fungi; Glomeromycota; Glomeromycetes; Glomerales; Glomeraceae.